This 264-nucleotide ribosomal RNA is filed under the name uncultured bacterium. RNAcentral describes it as "partial small subunit ribosomal RNA". It matches the Rfam family "Bacterial small subunit ribosomal RNA", at positions 26 to 288 of the family's 1533-position model. The record is from RNAcentral.
AGGACGAACGCUGGCGGCGUGCUUAACACAUGCAAGUCGAGCGAGGCCCCUUCCUUCGGGAGGGGAGUCCUAGCGGCGAACGGGUGAGUAACACGUGGGCAAUCUGCCCCUAGCACUGGGAUAACUCCGGGAAACCGGGGCUAAUACCGGAUAUGACCUCUGAGGGCAUCCUCUGGAGGUGGAAAGGAUUCUGGCUAGGGAUGAGCCCGCGGCCUAUCAGCUAGUUGGUGGGGUAAUGGCCUACCAAGGCGACGACGGGUAGCC